AUACGUAGGGUGCGAGCGUUGACCGGAAUUACUGGGCGUAAAGAGCUCGUAGGUGGUUUGUCGCGUCGUAUGUGAAAUUCCGGGGCUUAACUCCGGGCGUGCAGGCGAUACGGGCAUAACUUGAGUACUGUAGGGGAGACUGGAAUUCCUGGUGUAGCGGUGAAAUGGGCAGAUAUCAGGAGGAAAACCGGUGGCGAAGGGGGGUCUCUGGGCAGUAACUGACGCUGAGGAGCGAAAGCAUGGGUAGCGAACAGGAUUAGAUACCCUGGUAGUCCAUGCCGUAAACGGUGGGCGCUAGGUGUAGGGGUCUUCCACGACUUCUGUGCCGUAGCUAACGCAUUAAGCGCCCCGCCUGGGGAGUACGGCCGCAAGGCUAAAACUCAAAUGAAUUGACGGGG
RNAcentral lists this ribosomal RNA (398 nucleotides) under uncultured bacterium. RNAcentral's name for it is "partial 16S ribosomal RNA". It matches the Rfam family "Bacterial small subunit ribosomal RNA", at positions 523 to 918 of the family's 1533-position model. The record is from RNAcentral.